Long non-coding RNA from Gallus gallus (chicken), 1375 nucleotides. The record is from Ensembl. NCBI's taxonomy places the organism in Eukaryota, Metazoa, Chordata, Aves, Galliformes, Phasianidae.
GUGAAAAAUGGGCAGAAAUGGGGGGGAAAUGGGGCAGAAAUGGGGGCAAAUGGGGGCAGAAUGGGGACCUCCGCGCCUGUAGGGGGCGCUGCAGCCGCAGCCCUCCGCCUUCAGGUGCUCCACGUACUCUGCCAGGACCCAAAAUGACCCUUUUUCGACCCAAAAUGACCCAAAAUGCCACUUUUUGGGCCCCAAAAUCCCACCUUUUGGACCCUAAAUGGGGAUGGGUCCCAUAGGGGGAUACAGUGGGAGGAGGGAGCGAAGAAGGGAGGGGGGGGGGGGGGGUAUUGGGGUGGAAAUGGGGCAGAAUUGAGGGGAAAUGGGGGUCAGAAUGGACAGCAGAGGGGAAUAUUGGGGUGAAAUUGGGGGAAAUGGGGGAAAAAUGGGUGAAAAAUGGGCAGAAAUGGGGGGAAAAUGGGGCAGAAAUGGGGGCAAAUGGGGGCAGAAUGGGGACCUCCGCGCCUGUAGGGGGCGCUGCAGCCGCAGCCCUCCGCCUUCAGGUGCUGUAUGUGCUCUGCCAGGACCCAAAAUGCCACUUUUUCGACCCAAAAUGACCCAAAAUGCCACUUUUUGGGCCCCAAAAUCCCACCUUUUGGACCCUAAAUGGGGAUGGGUCCCAUAGGGGGAUACAGUGGGAGGAGGGAGCGAAGGGGAGGGGGGGGGGGGGGGGGGAUAUUGGGGUGGAAAUGGGGCAGAACUGGGGGGAAAUGGGGGUCAGAAUGGACAGCAGAGGGGAAUAUUGGGGUGAAAUUGGGGGAAAUGGGGGAAAAAUGGGUGAAAAAUGGGCAGAAAUGGGGGGGAAAAUGGGGCAGAAAUGGGGGCAAAUGGGGGCAGAAUGGGGACCUCCGCGCCUGUAGGGGGCGCUGCAGCCGCAGCCCUCCGCCUUCAGGUGCUCCACGUACUCUGCCAGGACCCAAAAUGCCCCUUUUUCGACCCAAAAUGACCCAAAAUGCCACUUUUUGGACCCCAAAAUCCCACCUUUUGGACCCUAAAUGGGGAUGGGUCCCAUAGGGGGAUACAGUGGGAGGAGGGAGUGGGGUGGAAGUGGGGGGGGGAUGGGGCAAAACUGGGGGGAAAUGGGGCAGAAUUGGGGGGAAAUGGGGGUCAGAAUGGACAGCAGAGAGGAAUAUUGGGGUGAAAUUGGGGGAAAUGGGGGAAAAAUGGGUGAAAAAAUGGGCAGAAAUGGGCAGAAAUGGGGGGAAAAUGGGGCAGAAAUGGGCGAAAUAGGGGCAGAAUUGGGCAAAAAAGGGCCAAAAGAGGUGGGAAUUGGGGAAAAUGGGCAGAAAUGGGGCAAAAUGGAGGGGAAAUGGGGCAAAAUUGGGGGCAAAAUUCCCCCCAUUUCCCCCCCAAUUUCCCCCAAUUCCCCAUUUCCCCC